This 74-nucleotide transfer RNA is filed under the name Cellulosimicrobium funkei. RNAcentral's name for it is "tRNA-Ile". It matches the Rfam family "tRNA". From Rfam's summary of the family: Transfer RNA (tRNA) molecules are approximately 80 nucleotides in length. Their secondary structure includes four short double-helical elements and three loops (D, anti-codon, and T loops). The record is from RNAcentral. Lineage: Bacteria; Bacillati; Actinomycetota; Actinomycetes; Micrococcales; Promicromonosporaceae. RNAcentral also lists the same sequence under 4 other names.
GGGGCGUUAGCUCAGUUGGUCAGAGCACAGGACUCAUAAUCCUUUGGUCGCGGGUUCAAGUCCCGCACGCCCUA